CUUGCUCCUUUGACGUUAGCGGCGGACGGGUGAGUAACACGUGGGUAACCUACCUAUAAGACUGGGAUAACUUCGGGAAACCGGAGCUAAUACCGGAUAAUAUUUCGAACCGCAUGGUUCGAUAGUGAAAGGUGGUUUUGCUAUCACUUAUAGAUGGACCCGCGCCGUAUUAGCUAGUUGGUAAGGUAACGGCUUACCAAGGCGACGAUACGUAGCCGACCUGAGAGGGUGAUCGGCCACACUGGAACUGAGACACGGUCCAGACUCCUACGGGAGGCAGGC
RNAcentral lists this ribosomal RNA (282 nucleotides) under uncultured Staphylococcus sp. Its description in RNAcentral is "partial 16S ribosomal RNA". It matches the Rfam family "Bacterial small subunit ribosomal RNA", at positions 79 to 351 of the family's 1533-position model. Lineage: Bacteria; Bacillati; Bacillota; Bacilli; Caryophanales; Staphylococcaceae. The record is from RNAcentral.